Molecule: long non-coding RNA, 696 nt
Filed under: Capra hircus (goat)
Lineage: Eukaryota; Metazoa; Chordata; Mammalia; Artiodactyla; Bovidae
Description: lncRNA (ENSCHIG00000000754.1)
Source: RNAcentral
ACAGAUUUACCAGAAUCCCAUAUUUCCCCAUCAUCUGCAUGUUGUUGAUUUAGUUCCUGUCUUGAUCGCUUUUGCAUCCUACAGAAAAGAUGCAGAUAAACCCCGCCCGGAAAUAUGGAGAGCCACAGUGCAGCAUUUCACAUUGAAGAAGGUCUCACAUCUGCAAAUCUGGGUCAGACUUCAGGCUGGUGGCGGAGUCACUUUUUGCCUCUUCACACUGACGCUGUGAAGAAGGGCACAUCGUCAUCCCCAUUUGAUAGGUGAGACAACUGAAGUGAGGAAACUCGCCCAGCGUUUUAGGCUCGUGAGUGUCAGAGCCAGAAGAUGAUGCUGGUGAGCUGAGUCAUGGGGACAGCGGAAGCCCAGCCAGGGUCAGGUUCAAGGUCAGCACUUGGAAGUGGGGUGGGGUGGAGACUGGCCCUUCUGUGGCCUGCUGAUCCUGGAUCUCUGCUCUCAUCACCCUUUACUUGCCCAGCCCAGCUAGGAACAGCUUAGACUCUGACAGCCGGAGCAGCAAGUUACGUGACUGCCCCUCUGUUUAACAAGAAUUACCCAGGAAUCGAGGAGUAGGAACCCUCAGACAGGCAGAGGUUCUCGAACGUUCCCCCUGAGAAAUAGCAACGCUUUGCCGGUGAGCUCGCUGAGCGCGUUUGCUGCUCUCUGGGUGGGCCCCAGUUGAGCCAGCUUCUGUUCCUG